Molecule: transfer RNA, 75 nt
Filed under: Calothrix parasitica NIES-267
Lineage: Bacteria; Bacillati; Cyanobacteriota; Cyanophyceae; Nostocales; Calotrichaceae
Description: tRNA-Pro
Rfam family: tRNA
About the family: Transfer RNA (tRNA) molecules are approximately 80 nucleotides in length. Their secondary structure includes four short double-helical elements and three loops (D, anti-codon, and T loops). Further hydrogen bonds mediate the characteristic L-shaped molecular structure. tRNAs have two regions of fundamental functional importance: the anti-codon, which is responsible for specific mRNA codon recognition, and the 3' end, to which the tRNAs corresponding amino acid is attached (by aminoacyl-tRNA synthetases). tRNAs cope with the degeneracy of the genetic code in two manners: having more than one tRNA (with a specific anti-codon) for a particular amino acid; and 'wobble' base-pairing, i.e. permitting non-standard base-pairing at the 3rd anti-codon position.
Source: RNAcentral
CCGGGUGUAGCGCAGUUUGGUAGCGCAUCUGUUUUGGGAGCAGAGGGUCGCAGGUUCAAGUCCUGCCACUCGGAC